RNAcentral lists this ribosomal RNA (497 nucleotides) under uncultured bacterium. RNAcentral describes it as "partial 16S ribosomal RNA". It matches the Rfam family "Bacterial small subunit ribosomal RNA", at positions 28 to 507 of the family's 1533-position model. The record is from RNAcentral.
GAUGAACGCUGGCGGCGUGCCUAAUACAUGCAAGUCGAGCGAACAGACGAGGAGCUUGCUCCUCUGACGUUAGCGGCGGACGGGUGAGUAACACGUGGAUAACCUACCUAUAAGACUGGGAUAACUUCGGGAAACCGGUGCUAAUACCGAAUAAUAUAUUGAUCCACAUUGUUCAAUAGUGAAAGACGGUUUUGCUGUCACUUAUCGAUGUAUCCGCGCCGCUUUAGCUAGUUGGUACGUUAACGGCUUACCAAGGCAACGAUGCGUAGCCGACGUGAGAGGAGGGUCGGCUACACUGGAACUGAGACGCGGUCCAGACUACUACGGGAGGCAGCAGAAGGGAAUGUUCCGCAGUGGGAGAGAGCCUGACGGAGCAACGCCGCGUGAGUGAUGAAGGUCUUCGGAUCUUAAAACUCUGCUAUUAGGGAAGAACAAAUGUGUAAGUAACUAUGCACGUCUUGACGGUACCUAAUCAGAAAGCAACGGCUAACUACGUG